AGUGAACGCUGGCGGUAGGCCUAACACAUGCAAGUCGAACGGCAGCACAGUAAGAGCUUGCUCUUACGGGUGGCGAGUGGCGGACGCGUGAGGAAUACAUCGGAAUCUACUUUUUCGUGGGGGAUAACGUAGGGAAACUUACGCUAAUACCGCAUACGACCUACGGGUGAAAGCAGGGGAUCUUCGGACCUUGCGCGAUUGAAUGAGCCGAUGUCGGAUUAGCUAGUUGGCGGGGUAAAGGCCCACCAAGGCGACGAUCCGUAGCUGGUCUGAGAGGAUGAUCAGCCACCCUGGAACUGAGACACGGUCCAGACUCCUACGGGAGGCAGCAGUGGGGAAUAUUGGACAAUGGGCGCAAGCCUGAUCCAGCCAUACCGCGUGGGUGAAGAAGGCCUUCGGGUUGUAAAGCCCUUUUGUUGGGAAAGAAAAGCAGCAGGUUAAUACCCCGCUGUUCUGACGGUACCCAAAGAAUAAGCACCGGCUAACUUCGUG
This 492-nucleotide ribosomal RNA is filed under the name uncultured bacterium. Its description in RNAcentral is "partial 16S ribosomal RNA". It matches the Rfam family "Bacterial small subunit ribosomal RNA", at positions 29 to 507 of the family's 1533-position model. The record is from RNAcentral.